This 396-nucleotide ribosomal RNA is filed under the name uncultured bacterium. RNAcentral describes it as "partial 16S ribosomal RNA". It matches the Rfam family "Bacterial small subunit ribosomal RNA", at positions 523 to 918 of the family's 1533-position model. The record is from RNAcentral.
AUACGAAGGGUGCAAGCGUUACUCGGAAUUACUGGGUGUAAAGGGCGUGUAGGCGGAGCAGCAAGUCAGAAGUGAAAUCUCCGGGCUUAACCCGGAAACUGCUUUUGAAACUGUUGCCCUUGAGUAUCGGAGAGGCAGGCGGGAUUUCCACUUUAGGGGUGUAAAGCGUAGAUAUUAGGAGGAACACCAGUGGCGAAGGCGGCCUGCGGGACGACAACUGACGCUGAGGCGCGAAAGCGUGGGGAGCAAACAGGAUUAGAUACCCUGGUAGUCCACGCCGUAAACGAUGGAUACUAGGUGUGGGGGGACUGACCCCCUCCGUGCCGCAGUCAACACAAUAAGUAUCCCACCUGGGGAGUACGAUCGCAAGAUUGAAACUCAAAGGAAUUGACGGGG